Molecule: long non-coding RNA, 457 nt
Organism: Macrobrachium nipponense
Lineage: Eukaryota; Metazoa; Arthropoda; Malacostraca; Decapoda; Palaemonidae
Exons: 3
Source: RefSeq, a predicted model, not a curated record
ACUUAUUUUGAAAACGUACAAGGGCCUGCCAGAGGAGGAACCAUCCCAGUGUUGGGCUGUGCAUAAAACCAAAGCGAAACACUCAGUUUUUGCAAGAAAAGCAUCAGACAGAAGUGUAGUACACUACAAACACUAGAAAACUUUGUGAGCGACAUGGAUAUUAACGAAAUUUGUGAAUUAGACACAAUGGAUUCCCUAAUAGGAAAUACACGUAUACCUUCAAACUUUCUACUAGGCUAUACGUUCCUGCAGUUUCUCUUAACUAUCGCCAAUCAACAUUUUCUCACACCGUAUAAUCAACUACUUGUGCCGACUCCACUGAAUUUCGGUAUCACCCUAUACACAAGGAUACUGAACAAGGCCGAUGGGACGGAAACUGUACCAGUUUACUAGAACCAAACCGUAAGGACACAUUAAGAUGAGAAAUGCGGAACACGGAAACAGAGGGAGAGAGAGA